Molecule: non-coding RNA, 22 nt
Filed under: Arabidopsis thaliana (thale cress)
Lineage: Eukaryota; Viridiplantae; Streptophyta; Magnoliopsida; Brassicales; Brassicaceae
Source: RNAcentral
AGAAAAGUCAGAGUGUUACGGA